Molecule: ribosomal RNA, 460 nt
Filed under: uncultured bacterium
Lineage: Bacteria
Description: partial 16S ribosomal RNA
Rfam family: Bacterial small subunit ribosomal RNA
Source: RNAcentral
AACAAACGCUGGCGGCGUGCCUAAUACAUGCAAGUCGAACGGGGAAAGCUUUCGGGUGUGUACUAGUGGCGCGCGGGUGGGGGACGCGUGGAUAAUCUGCCUUAAUGUGGGGUUUAACUAGUCGAAAGGUUAGCUAAUACACCAAGACAACGCAAGCUACGUCUUUUGGGGUCAAGGGUUUUUUGCUCUCAGAUGAGUCCGCGUAAGCCUAGCUCGUUGGUGCGGUAUCGCCUCACCAAGGCGACGAUCUUUAACUGGUCUGAGAGGAUGAACAGUCACACUGGAAAUGAGACACGGUCGAGACUACUACGGGAGGCAGCAGGAGGGAAUAUUGCACAAUGGAGGAAACUCUGAUGCAGGGACGCCGCGUGAGUGAUGAAGGCCUUCGGGUCGUAAAGCUCUGUCGUAGGGGAAUAACACAAUGACGGUACCCUGUAAGAAAGGACCGGCUAACUUCGUG